GAUCAGUUAUUGAUCAGUUAUUGAUCUGCAGACCUGCUCCUGUACUUGUGUCCAGAGCUCAGAAACGUCCUCGAGGAGCUGCUUGUAGAGCAGCAGGCGCUGGAGGCGAUGAAGACCCUCCAUCAGCUCUACAGGAGGCAGGGUGGAGCAGGCCAGGGAAGAGGUGGAGAGGCUGAAGGAGGAGGUGGAGAGGAAAAAGGCGGAGCUUGGUGCACUGCAACAGGAAGUGGAGUUCCACAGGAAAGAGGCCGAACAGGUCGGAGUGGGGUCAGCCCCACGGUGACAUCAUCAUGAUGUGACCGCAGCUCCGCCUAAACAUCCUGGGCCCACAGGACUACACAUUAACCCAGUGCCAGAACUCCACCUUACACACACUGGGACCCCCCUGACUGCAGCUUGGGUUGUUGCCGUGGAAACAGGCGGCCUGCCUGUUAAUGACUAACACAUGUGGACCUGCACAGGAAGUGACUGAGUCAUGAACACAGGAUUCCAGCGGAGAGCAGCGGAGCUCUUCAGAGUAAAAGUCCUGGUCUCAGGUUUCUGUUGGACCUUCUGCUGAGUCAGCAGCUGCUGCUGAUCAGAAGUGAUGUAUUGAUCAGCCUCGUUCAGUUUGGAGCUUUUGGUUCUGUCCCACAGUUCAGUGUCUUAGCUUGAAUAAACACAGGCUUUUAUUGUGACAGCAGACAGGAAGCCGUGCUGAGUGUUUCCUGAAACAUGAUCAAAUGUGCAGGUUUGAAUUUUUCCCUCAGAAAGUUUGAGGAGUCGGAGGAGCUGGAGCCGACGAUGGAGACGGACCGCAGCAGAAAGAGGCCCAGCGGUGGAGCUGAUCUGCAGCUGCACCAGGAGGCCCAGCAGCUGCACCAGGAAGCCCAGCAGCCUCCGGGCUGUAAGAGGAGGUGCAGGGAGGACCCAGAGGAGAUGAACAGGGGGAGGAGGAGAAGCAGAGGAGGCUGCAAGGAGAACAGAGACCCAGGAGCAGGCCUAAGGAGGGGCGGGACCCAGAACCUGCAGAGGGACCGCAGAUGGUGAGGAGGUCCGGAUUUCCCAUUUGGUGACUGCAGAUCCAGACUCUAAAGGUCUGUCAAACUUCCUGCAGGGCUUCACAGGCCAGAACCAGGACCAGAACCACAGCCUGCACUGGAGCUGCAUUCAGCCGUGCAAGUGAGGUCAAGGCUGGCGGACCAGAGGUACGAGUGGCUCUGAUCAGAAAGACCAGGAUUCAGCUCCGAGGAUCCAGUCAGACCCAGGACCGGCAGCCCAGGACCAACUCAAAGGUCUGUUCAAAAGACAUCGACCUGGACUCCGGGACCUCCUACUGACCGUGUCCUCUGUUCACAGGUCAGGUCCACAGCAGGCAGCAGAAUCAGCAGCGAGCAGGACAGGGGGACACCGAGGACCUGGUCUGUUGGCAGGGCGACUGAGACCAGGGCAAGGAGGAGAAGGAAGAUUCACCCGUCUGUGUUCAGAGGGAGAGGUACUCAAUCAAUCAAUCAACCGAUCAAUCGAUCGAUCGAUCGGUCAAAAGCCUGACUG
Parambassis ranga (Indian glassy fish) is the source of this 1533-nucleotide long non-coding RNA. NCBI's taxonomy places the organism in Eukaryota, Metazoa, Chordata, Actinopteri, Ambassidae. The record is from Ensembl.